This 93-nucleotide transfer RNA is filed under the name Thiemannella venezuelensis. RNAcentral's name for it is "Planomonospora venezuelensis tRNA-Pro". Lineage: Bacteria; Bacillati; Actinomycetota; Actinomycetes; Streptosporangiales; Streptosporangiaceae. The record is from RNAcentral.
GCCGGGCUAGGCCAGGGCUGGCCGAUCACCUCGGGCGGGGUCGGCGUGGUCGACGUCCGCGACCUGGCGGUGGUCCUGACCCGCACCCUGGAA